CCCAUGAAACCGUGAGAUCCUGACCUGAACUGAAACCAAAAGUUGGAUGCUUAACCGACUGAGCCACCCAGACGCCCCAGAUCAUAGUGAGCUUUUAAAAAAAGUCACUUGGGUUACGUGGCUAUAUAGAUCGAGAUGAAAGGCAACCUUUGUUCCCAAUGUUUAUUGUGAUCUGACUUGAGCUCUGAGUUGCACCUUAUAGCUUCCAUUUUCUCAGCGGUGAUAGCACUGGUGAGAGGAAGGUGGAGUUUGUGGCAAUGUGAAAUUUCAGAUUCAGGGUUACAGAUGUCCUCUAGCUGGCUCCUCUGGGCUUGCUCAACAGCAGCAUAUGUACCCACAGAUGCGAGUAGACCUGAGCCUACACGGAUGGGUCACCACUUUUUUCUCGCUUCCCACGCAGGAGAUCUGGGUCUGCUUUCUAGCAAAUCCUUUAAUAUGGCAACAUGGAGAGUGCACAGGCUUUUGGAAUCAGACGAAUUUUUGUUCCAUUUCCACCAUGCGCUAGUUUUGCAAUCGUGGGAAAUGGGCUUAAAUGAUCUGAGCCUCAGUUUGUUCAUGUAACAUGGUGCAAAUAAUUGCCAUGAUGAUUACAAUGAGACAAAGUCUGUACUUUGCUUAUUAGUGGCAGAUAUGUAAUAUGUUCUAGACAAAGAGAGUCCUUUUGCUCUUUCUACUGGAGUUACACAUGAUUAGAUUUAAUUGUAAAGAAAUCUCACUAUGGACAAGUGCAUUAGUCUUCUUUUGCUGCAGUAACAAAUAGCCCCCAAAGCUCAGUGGCUGAAAAUCACGUACACUUAAUUUCUGGCUCAUGUUAUCUGAGGGCUGAAUUAAUGCUGCCUUUCCUGGGCUUCCCUGGGUUAUGUUCUGCUUUGUGUCCUCUCACCUCGGGAUCCCAGCUGAAGAAACAUGCUGUUCUCAUGGUGAAGGACAGAAACUCCAGAGAGCGGAGCCAAUCUGUAAGGCAUAUUUAAAGUUUCUGCUUGGACAUCGUGUGUAUCACAUCUGCCCACAUCCAUUGUCAUACGGCCAAGGCCAAAGUCAAUUGAUGGUCACUUGCCGUUCAUCCCUUUUUACUCAUCUAAACGUGGGCUUGCUUCGGCCUCUCUUCUCCUUGGACACUCUUUUCUCCAGGUAAUCUCAUACGGAACUCUGGCUUCAGCAGACUUCUCACCGAGGAAUCCUGUGUCAACAUUUGCAACUGAGAUGCCACGGAACUGUCCACUCAUAUCGCCAGCCUGGCGUCUCUCCUGUGCUGCCGUAUGAAUCUCAAGGGCCGUCUUCUUUGCACCGAGCGACAGAUGAUAUUGGUAGUGAAAACACAAAACACGGAGUCAAGAAGAACUGGUCGCUGCACAUGUCGGUCCUGCCGGGCACUAACAAGGCAAGGAAGCUGAAUAGAAAAACAACUUUCCUAAGCUCAAAGAAUGAAUGGCAAAGCCAGCAACCGUUGACUCGUCGAUGCCUGAGGCUGACUCUCAACCUGAGCCCUUCUCCACAAGACCCCAAGUGUCCAAGUAUCAGAGGCAGGCUCACUAACCUGUCGUGGGGCUCAAAUAGCCCCUGCUUCAUGGAUCACGCUGUCUACCUUCCUGGAGAGCUUGCUUCAGAUAAAUGUCUCUCCACUUCCCAAACUAGGAAGGAUGGAAAGGUAUUUACACUUUCAGUAACCUGCGUAUGGAUCCCACUGCUAUUUAAUUAAGACUUAAACCUAUAAAGAUGCACAUUUAAUACUCAGAGUAAACCCUUGACUUGUUUCCUUUGAAGAUAAACAGACACGAAGAGAGAUCUCUUAUUUCUCAUCGGAGGGAGAUACAAAAGAAGGUUGCUGGCAGACAGAGCCAAUUCUUAACCACUGAGAGGAGAGGCUAGCUGAAGACCUAACAUCCUAAGGAAGGCUCUCCAGAUGAGGUCUGGAGUCUGAUGGAGCCCCUAAAAGGAUACUGUCCCUAAAAACUGGUAGCAGAGAGAGAAGUGUGGAAGAAGGAAAAUAAGAUGAAAAUACGUUCUUCGAAGUUAGGGAGUUCUGUCUCCUUCAUUUUUGAGUGAUUUAGGGAGUUUCGUACAGAGAGCAGGAAGCAGUGGGUGUACAAGAUGUACUGGUUGGUUGAAUUAGGGAGAGAACAGACCAGAGAAACACCCUUUGGUUAGUCAAGAGUUAACACGGUUCUCUUGAAGAGAGUAAUUGGCGGUGGCUGAGUUAUAGUAACACUGCACAUUCCCUGCUAAGUGCACAUUUCCUGUUCAGGACGUGGAUUUGAUGGGGCCUUUUAAAAGUAGGUGACUUAGGCGGUUCUUUUUAUUGGGGGGAAAAUCAAGAUAAUAUGGUCUGGCUUUGGAACCUAAUUUCCCAUUAUUCCUCAUCAAGGGCCUUCAUCCAGGCCACGCACGUCUACUCGUGAUUCUCCAAAUCUAAACAGACUGCACAGAUCCUGCCUCUGAACCUUUGUUUAUGUUGUUCCUUCCAAAGGCUGCACCCUGUCCUCUCCCCUCUCCUGAGAUCCUACUCUCCUUCAAGACCUGAGUCUAG
Molecule: long non-coding RNA, 2527 nt
Organism: Prionailurus viverrinus (fishing cat)
Lineage: Eukaryota; Metazoa; Chordata; Mammalia; Carnivora; Felidae
Exons: 8
Source: RefSeq, a predicted model, not a curated record